RNAcentral lists this ribosomal RNA (407 nucleotides) under uncultured bacterium. RNAcentral's name for it is "partial 16S ribosomal RNA". It matches the Rfam family "Bacterial small subunit ribosomal RNA", at positions 28 to 526 of the family's 1533-position model. The record is from RNAcentral.
GACGAACGCUGGCGGCGUGCCUAAUACAUGCAAGUAGAACGCAGUUGCGAACGGGUGAGUAACGCGUAGGUAACUGCCUCAUAGCGGGGGAUAACUAUUGGAAACGAUAGCUAAUACCCCAUACUGUGAGAUGGACCUGCGUUGUAUUAGCUAGUUGGUGAGGUAAAGGCUCACCACGGCGACGAUACAUAGCCGACCUGAGAGGGUGAGCGGCCAACCUGGGAAUGUAACACGGACCAGACUCCUACGGGAGGCAGCAGUAAGGAAGCUUCGGCCAUGGACGGAAGGCUGACCGAGCAACGCCGCGUGAGUGAAGACGGUUUUCCGAUCGUAAAGCUCUGUUCUUAGAGAAUCGGUAACUAACCAGAAAGGGACGGCUAACUACGUGCCAGCAGCCGCGGUAAUUC